This is a non-coding RNA of Pelobates cultripes (western spadefoot toad), 243 nucleotides long. NCBI's taxonomy places the organism in Eukaryota, Metazoa, Chordata, Amphibia, Anura, Pelobatidae. The record is from the annotation of a GenBank genome assembly.
CUAGAUUUCAGUAGACUAAAAAAAUUACAUUUUUUUUUUUCGAACUCUUGACUAUUUGCAAUUUAUUUAAACUCAAUACAGUUAGGAUUGGUCCUGUUUAAUCCAUUAGAUUUGCUGGGGAUAUUGUAUUAAUACAUAAACCCAAUUCCAUCCUUGUGUGUUAAACAUGUAGGAAAUAAUUUUAACUAAAUCAAUGAUAUACAAGCUACAGAGGUUUUCAGUAUUUCUUAAAGAAAGCAUUUU